AGUGAACGCUGGCGGUAGGCCUAACACAUGCAAGUCGAACGGCAGCACAGUAAGAGCUUGCUCUUACGGGUGGCGAGUGGCGGACGGGUGAGGAAUACAUCGGAAUCUACUUUUUCGUGGGGGAUAACGUAGGGAAACUUACGCUAAUACCGCAUUCGACCUACGGGUGAAAGCAGGGGAUCUUCGGACCUUGCGCGAUUGAAUGAGCCGAUGUCGGAUUAGCUAGUUGGCGGGGUAAAGGCCCACCAAGGCGACGAUCCGUAGCUGGUCUGAGAGGACGAUCAGCCACACUGGAACUGAGACACGGUCCAGACUCCUACGGGAGGCAGCAGUGGGGAAUAUUGGACAAUGGGCGCAAGCCUGAUCCAGCCAUACCGCGUGGGUGAAGAAGGCCUUCGGGUUGUAAAGCCCUUUUGUUGGGAAAGAAAAGCAGCAGGUUAAUACCCCGCUGUUCUGACGGUACCCAAAGAAUAAGCACCGGCUAACUUCGUG
Molecule: ribosomal RNA, 492 nt
Filed under: uncultured bacterium
Lineage: Bacteria
Description: partial 16S ribosomal RNA
Rfam family: Bacterial small subunit ribosomal RNA
Source: RNAcentral